CAGUCGAGCGAAUGAUGAGGAGCUUGCUCCUCUGAUUUAGCGGCGGACGGGUGAGUAACACGUGGGUAAUCUGCCUGUAAGACGGGGAUAACUCCGGGAAACCGGGGCUAAUACCGGAUAAUAAGAGAAGAAGCAUUUCUUCUUUUUGAAAGUCGGUUUCGGCUGACACUUACAGAUGAGCCCGCGGCGCAUUAGCUAGUUGGUGAGGUAACGGCUCACCAAGGCGACGAUGCGUAGCCGACCUGAGAGGGUGAUCGGCCACACUGGGACUGAGACACGGCCCAGACUCCUACGGGAGGCAGCAGUAGGGAAUCUUCGGCAAUGGGCGAAAGCCUGACCGAGCAACGCCGCGUGAGCGAUGAAGGCCUUCGGGUCGUAAAGCUCUGUUGUUAGAGAAGAACAAGUACGAGAGUAACUGCUCGUACCUUGACGGUACCUAACCAGAAAGCCACGGCUAACUACGUGCCAGCAGCCGCGGUAAUACGUAGGUGGCAAGCGUUAUCCGGAAUUAUUGGGCGUAAAGCGCGCGCAGGCGGUCUCUUAAGUCUGAUGUGAAAGCCCACGGCUCAACCGUGGAGGGUCAUUGGAAACUGGGAGACUUGAGUGCAGGAGAGAAAAGUGGAAUUCCACGUGUAGCGGUGAAAUGCGUAGAGAUGUGGAGGAACACCAGUGGCGAAGGCGGCUUUUUGGCCUGUAACUGACGCUGAGGCGCGAAAGCGUGGGGAGCAAACAGGAUUAGAUACCCUGGUAGUCCACGCCGUAACGAUGAGUGCUAGGUGUUGGGGGGGUUCCACCCUCAGUGCUGAAGUUAACACAUUAAGCACUCCGCCUGGGGAGUACGACCGCAAGGUUGAAACUCAAAGGAAUUGACGGGGGCCCGCACAAGCAGUGGAGCAUGUGGUUUAAUUCGAAGCAACGCGAAGAACCUUACCAGGUCUUGACAUCCUUUGACCACUCUAGAGAUAGAGCUUUCCCCUUCGGGGGACAAAGUGACAGUGUGCAUGCUGUCGUCAGCUCGUGUCGUGAGAUGUUGGGUUAAGUCCGCACGAGCGCACCCUGACUAGUGCAGCAUCAGUGGCACUCUAAGUGACUGCCGGUGACAAACCGGAGAAG
RNAcentral lists this ribosomal RNA (1113 nucleotides) under Fictibacillus phosphorivorans. Its description in RNAcentral is "bacterial SSU rRNA". It matches the Rfam family "Bacterial small subunit ribosomal RNA", at positions 59 to 1172 of the family's 1533-position model. Lineage: Bacteria; Bacillati; Bacillota; Bacilli; Caryophanales; Fictibacillaceae. The record is from RNAcentral.